GCCCGUUUAGCUCAGUCGGUAGAGCGCAAGGCUCUUAACCUUGUGGUCCGUGGGUUCGAGCCCCCACGGUGGGCG
RNAcentral lists this transfer RNA (75 nucleotides) under Oryza sativa Japonica Group (Japanese rice). Its description in RNAcentral is "tRNA-Lys". It matches the Rfam family "tRNA". Rfam says of the family: Transfer RNA (tRNA) molecules are approximately 80 nucleotides in length. Their secondary structure includes four short double-helical elements and three loops (D, anti-codon, and T loops). The record is from RNAcentral. Lineage: Eukaryota; Viridiplantae; Streptophyta; Magnoliopsida; Poales; Poaceae.